Molecule: ribosomal RNA, 664 nt
Filed under: uncultured Bacteroidota bacterium
Lineage: Bacteria; Pseudomonadati; Bacteroidota
Description: bacterial SSU rRNA
Rfam family: Bacterial small subunit ribosomal RNA
Source: RNAcentral
GCUUAACACAUGCAAGUCGAGGGGCAGCGCAGUGUAGCAAUACAUGGGCGGCGACCGGCGCACGGGUGCGUAACGCGUAUCCAACCUUCCCGUUACUCAGGGAUAGCCUUCCGAAAGGGAGAUUAAUACCUGAUGGUGUUGAAAUUCCGCAUGUUAUUUCAACUAAAGAUUUAUCGGUAACGGAUGGGGAUGCGUGACAUUAGGUAGAUGGCGGGGUAACGGCCCACCAUGCCUACGAUGUCUAGGGGUUCUGAGAGGAAGGUCCCCCACACUGGAACUGAGACACGGUCCAGACUCCUACGGGAGGCAGCAGUGAGGAAUAUUGGUCAAUGGCCGGAAGGCUGAACCAGCCAAGUAGCGUGAAGGAUGAAGGUUCUAUGGAUUGUAAACUUCUUUUAUACGGGAAUAAAACCUCCCACGUGUGGGAGCUUGUAUGUACCGUAUGAAUAAGCAUCGGCUAACUCCGUGCCAGCAGCCGCGGUAAUACGGAGGAUGCGAGCGUUAUCCGGAUUUAUUGGGUUUAAAGGGAGCGUAGGUGGAUUGUUAAGUCAGUUGUGAAAGUUUGCGGCUCAACCGUAAAAUUGCAGUUGAAACUGGCAGUCUUGAGUACAGUAGAGGUGGGCGGAAUUCGUGGUGUAGCGGUGAAAUGCUUAGAUAUCACGAA